Long non-coding RNA from Mustela lutreola (European mink), 2642 nucleotides. RefSeq lists it as uncharacterized. The transcript is spliced from 3 exons. NCBI's taxonomy places the organism in Eukaryota, Metazoa, Chordata, Mammalia, Carnivora, Mustelidae. The record is from RefSeq and is a predicted model, not a curated record.
CAAAGUCUAUUUGGCUCUCAAACUUGGCUGUCCAUCAGAAUCACCUAGAGGGCUUUUAAAGCUCUGGUGCCCCGCUUCCACCCAGGCCAGUUACGUCAGACUCUCUGGGGGUGGACCUGGGGAUCUGGGACCUUUUGAAGCUCCAGCCCCCUCCCCCACCCUUCCCCACCAGAAGCCCAGGCUGGGAGGUAGAGAUGUACCUGAACUCUGGCCCUUCCUGCUACCUGCCCCAGCCUAAUCCUGGCUGACCCCUGAGGGCUCCACCAGAAUACUGUCCUGGGGCUUAAUGAGCAGCUCCUGCCUCAAGCACCUCCAAAAUGGAAAUAAAGGGACAAAGACAACAGAAGAACAGACAACAGCCACAGAAUCUUGGAAGCCAAAAUCGGAAUGACCAUAUUCAGACAGAUGGCUCUUUACUGCCUGUGGCUUCUGGUUUUCCUGCCUGAAUAGAACUUAGAACCAGGCUGCCAGGGGCCUCCCAUGCACCCCCCGAGGCCAAGUCCACGCAGAGGUAGGCGGGUGCUGCGGUCUGGCCAGGCCAGAGGACCAGCACCCCUCCAACCAUCCUUCCUGUCUACUCAGCAGAGCGGUCACUGCCACUUCCUCGGCUGCGCUUGAUGGGAAUGAGGGGUUCAAAAGCCACGGUGUCCCAGGAAGAAGGGAAGAGGCAUGGGAACUGAGAAGUAGAAGAGACAUUUGACUAUGUGUUGAGAUGUGAAUAAAGGCAAGAUAUUGGUCUCUACCCAGGAUACUGUGUGGAGUACUAGACACUUAGGCAGGGGACAGGGUUGGAUGCAGUGAGCAGACCCCUGUGGGGGGGUGCUGGUAAGUCACUCCUCCCUCUGUCUUCUCUGUCCUCAUCGAAAACUAAGGGACUAAACACCAAGGUCUCUUCUGUCCCUAAUCUUCCAUGACUCUCUGAUCUGUAUGAGCCCAAGUCUGGUGGGCUCGGCACGAAGGGUAGGACUCUUCGUGCCUCCCUCCAUCCCCAGAUCUUCCCCCUGCCUGUGAAAGUCCACUCAGAUCCCUGCUCCCUUGGACACAGACGACCAAGCGUGAUACUUGCCAGAUGGUAGGGCUACUUUCUGGAAUCGUGAAACGGGGGAGCCGGAGCCAGCUAGCAAGCCCGACAGGGAAAGGGUGCUGGGGCUUGAAGCCCAGGGUGAGCAGAGAUCGCGAGGGAGCUGCUGCUGGAGGCAGACAGGAGAAAAGCCAGCCACAGAGAGGAAAAGGGAGCCGGCACAGAGGGGAAAGAGGUGCCAUCAGAGAGACCUCACAGCUCACCAGAGACAGGAAGAGCUCCUACUUCCAGAGACUGCCUUGGUUCAAGGUCAAAUGUACUCAGAAAAAGACCCCUUACACUGAGGCUCUGGAGAGGCUUUUGGGGGAGGGGGGCACAAGAUCCUGAACGAACAAAGAAACACCUUCCUUAUUCUGUGGGUGGAACCGAGGUCACCUCUGCAGACCCGUCGUCGUGCACGUGUUAGGAAGGCUCCCUCCCGUGGUCCUGAGCACUGCCGCUCCACUGCUCUUCCCGCCAAGAGGUGAAGCGGUCUCUCCUCCCGUGAAUCCAAGCUCGGCAAGGUGAGUUAUUUUGGCCAGUGAAACCCUAGCAGAUGUCAGCAGGGGCUUGAAACCCACUUGUGCAUGAGGACUGCCCUCUCUCUGGCCACGGUUGGGAGCAGAGACUAUGAUGUGGGUGGGUCUGAGCCGGCUGAAGAAGCCACAUGGAGAACAGAGGUCUGUCGGCCUUCAGCUUGCCGACUGCUGGACAGGUGAGUGAGAAUGUGCCAGGCCGUCCACAGCCCUAACCAAACCAUCAGGUGACUACGGCUGCAUGCAUGACCCCAGGCAAGACCAGUGGAAGACCCCCAACUGAGCCCAGCCAAACUGCUGACCUACAGAAUUGUGAGCUGAGAAAGGGGUGGCUGUUUUGAGCCACUAGAGCGUAGGGGUGGUUUACUAUUCUACCUGAUACGGUCCCUGCGUAAGCGAGCCUCCAACAUCCCCCCCGCCCCUGCCAAAUAUAGAGUCGGGCCCUGGAGGGAGACUCUGGUGGCUCUCAGGGGUGUGUGGCAGAAGCUGUCAUCCCCAACAACAAACCAUCCUCCCCCUUUUUCUUUUUAGGAAAGGAACUUUUUAGUAACGGCACCAGUCCAACGAACUAGAGACUCUUUUUUGCAGCUAAGUACGAUGACAUUUUUACUGAUGGAAUGGAAUGAAAGGGAUGUGUGCAACUUCUGUGUUACUUCUUUAAAAGGAAUUUGCUUGCUCUACACUUCCUCCGUUCCCCCUUCCUGGAGGCUGGAAUGCAGAGCUGGGGCCAGGAGGGUGGACCCCUGUGGCAGGGAGGCAGGACCUCGUAAGGUGGUGGCUCCUGUUGCCUAACACAGCUGACUGUGGGGAGCAUUGUCACAAAAGGGGGGCUGCUGUGAAGGCAAGUGCUGGGCAGACAGGAGUGUGUCCACCACAAGAGGCUCCAAGCUCUCUCCCAACCCCUUUCUCUUGUCCCUCAGCCUCCUCCAGCUCCUACAGAAGGGACCGAGAGAAAAGGGGGUGAGCAGAGGAAGCAGCAUGUGCAAAGGUCCAGAGGGGAAAACGGUCACGCUAUGUUUGGUGCACUGAAAGCAGCUUGGAGUGGU